AAUAAAGCGGAGGAAAAGAAACUAACAAGGAUUCCCCUAGUAACUGCGAGUGAAGCGGGAAAAGCUCAAAUUUAAAAUCUGGCGGUCUUUGGCCGUCCGAGUUGUAGUCUGGAGAAGUGCUUUCCGCGCUGGACCGUGUACAAGUCUCUUGGAACAGAGCGUCAUAGAGGGUGAGAAUCCCGUCUUUGACACGGACUACCAGUGCUUUGUGAUGCGCUCUCAAAGAGUCGAGUUGUUUGGGAAUGCAGCUCUAAAUGGGUGGUAAAUUCCAUCUAAAGCUAAAUAUUGGCGAGAGACCGAUAGCGAACAAGUACCGUGAGGGAAAGAUGAAAAGCACUUUGGAAAGAGAGUUAAACAGUACGUGAAAUUGCUGAAAGGGAAACGCUUGAAGUCAGUCGCGUUGGCCGGGACUCAGCCUUGCUUUUGCUUGGUGCAUUUUCCGGUUGACGGGCCAGCAUCGAUUUUGACCGUCGGAAAAGGGCUGGGGAAAUGUGGCACCUUCGGGUGUGUUAUAGUCUCUAGUCGCAUACGGCGGUCGGGAUCGAGGAACGCAGCGCGCCGCAAGGCAGGGGUUCGCCCACUUUCGCGCUUAGGAUGCUGGCAUAAUGGCUUUAAACGACCCGUCUUGA
Molecule: ribosomal RNA, 629 nt
Filed under: Fomes fomentarius
Lineage: Eukaryota; Fungi; Basidiomycota; Agaricomycetes; Polyporales; Polyporaceae
Description: eukaryotic LSU rRNA
Rfam family: Eukaryotic large subunit ribosomal RNA
Source: RNAcentral